RNAcentral lists this transfer RNA (71 nucleotides) under Nesodiprion japonicus. RNAcentral's name for it is "tRNA-Lys". RNAcentral also lists the same sequence under 1 other name. Lineage: Eukaryota; Metazoa; Arthropoda; Insecta; Hymenoptera; Diprionidae. The record is from RNAcentral.
CAUUAAGUGGCUGAAAGCAAGCAAUGAUCUCUUAAAUCAUUUUAUAAUAUAUUAGCAAAUAUUCUUAAUGA